RNAcentral lists this ribosomal RNA (450 nucleotides) under uncultured bacterium. RNAcentral describes it as "partial 16S ribosomal RNA". It matches the Rfam family "Bacterial small subunit ribosomal RNA", at positions 29 to 523 of the family's 1533-position model. The record is from RNAcentral.
AGCGAACGCUGGCGGCAGGCCUAACACAUGCAAGUCGAACGAACUCUUCGGAGUUAGUGGCGGACGGGUGAGUAACACGUGGGAACGUGCCUUUAGGUUCGGAAUAACUCAGGGAAACUUGUGCUAAUACCGAAUGUGCCCUUCGGGGGAAAGAUUUAUCGCCUUUAGAGCGGCCCGCGUAGGAUUAGCGAGUUGGUUGGGGUAAUGGCCCACAAAGGCGACGACCAGUAGCUGGUCUGAGAGGAUGACCAGCCACAUUGGGGCUGAGACACGGCCCAAACUCCUACGGGAGGCAGCAGGGGGGAAUCUUGCGCAAUGUGCGAAAGCCUGACGCAGCCAUGCCGCGUGUAUGAUGAAGGUCUUAGGAUUGUAAAAUACUUUCACCGGUGAAGAUAAUGACUGUAGCCGGAGAAGAAGCCCCGGCUAACUUCGUGCCAGCAGCCGCGGUAA